CUUCAAGGAACCUCCCUUGACGGGUUCAUAUUCAAAGCUAAACUUUGUGUGCUAGAAACACACUACUGGCAGAGUUAUCUUUAUUUACAAACAGAGCUUCAUGGGGAGUUUAAUAUAGCUCAGUUUAGAGAAAGAUGUAGUCUAUAAAUAAAGUUUUACCCUGCACAUAGUGUCUUAAUUUCUGCCAUAUUUGUUAGUAACCUUGCUUCUCAAAAAUUAACACUGCAGCUAACUUUAUACAAAUUUAAUAACAACAAAUUACUAAUUUAUAAGGACAAGUUGCCAAUUAAUAUACAAAAAGAUAUCUGCACAUCAAACUCGUGUAGAGAGAGGGUGUUCGAACACUGGCCACUUCAGCUAUAACAGAGCUUUCUUUCAUAUUAAAGAUUGUGAGGAACGUAACAAGAUAUGACAGAACUUGCGCUCCGUUACCUGAAACUCCAUUGUUCUACUUUCACAGUGAUGGAGAGAUUGCUCCAAAUCCUUGGAUCAAGAGCCCAUCACCUGCCAGGUGUAUGCAUGUCACCGCUCUGGCCACAGCCAAUGAAAACGAGAGUUACUAAGUUGGCGGAAAACAGAAGCCAAUUACAGCCUAGAUUUAACCUAUGCAGCCAAUCAGCAGUCGUGACGUCACUUGACGAGCCAAUCAAAGCGCACAGAGACUACUACGUCACAGUGGUGGUGCGGAGCCCGCACAAGUAAACUUGCCUCAAGUCAUGCGCGGGAGAUGACGUGAGGGCGCGCGCUCCUCAGGGUAAGGUUGCUCCAAAUCCUUGGAUCAAGAGUCCAUCACCAGCACUCAAAAAGCAAAUUGCUAAGUUGGCGGGAAGCAACAGCCAAUUACAGCGUAGAUUUAGCCUGACGU
Non-coding RNA from Cherax quadricarinatus, 865 nucleotides. Lineage: Eukaryota; Metazoa; Arthropoda; Malacostraca; Decapoda; Parastacidae. The record is from RefSeq and is a predicted model, not a curated record.